UACGGAGGUGGCAAGCGUUGCUCGGAAUCACUGGGCGUAAAGGGCGCGUAGGCGGGGAGGUAAGUCGGGUGUGAAAUCCCUCGGCCCAACCGAGGAACUGCGCCCGAGACUGCUUCUCUUGAGUCCCGGAGAGGAAGGUGGAAUUCCCGGUGUAGCGGUGAAAUGUGUAGAGAUCGGGAGGAACACCGGUGGCGAAGGCGGGUGACUGGCCAAACACUGACACUGAGACCCGAAAGUGUGGGGAUCAAACAGG
RNAcentral lists this ribosomal RNA (253 nucleotides) under uncultured bacterium. Its description in RNAcentral is "partial 16S ribosomal RNA". It matches the Rfam family "Bacterial small subunit ribosomal RNA", at positions 524 to 776 of the family's 1533-position model. The record is from RNAcentral.